CCUACGGGGGGCAGCAGUGGGGAAUAUUGCGCAAUGGGCGAAAGCCUGACGCAGCGACGCCGCGUGAGGGAUGAAGGUCUUCGGAUCGUAAACCUCUGUCAGCAGGGAAGAACGGUCACUGUGCUAAUCAGCAGUGAAUUGACGGUACCUGCAAAGGAAGCACCGGCUAACUCCGUGUCAGCAGCCGCGGUAAUACGGAGGGUGCGAGCGUUAAUCGGAAUUAUUGGGUGUAAAGGGUGCGUAGACGGGAAAACAAGUUAGUUGUGAAAUCCCUCGGCUUAACUGAGGAACUGCAACUAAAACUA
Molecule: ribosomal RNA, 305 nt
Filed under: uncultured bacterium
Lineage: Bacteria
Description: bacterial SSU rRNA
Rfam family: Bacterial small subunit ribosomal RNA
Source: RNAcentral